CUUUGACAACUCUAGAGAUAGAGUCUUCCCCUUCGGGGGACAAAGUGACAGGUGGUGCAUGGUUGUCGUCAGCUCGUGUCGUGAGAUGUUGGGUUAAGUCCCGCAACGAGCGCAACCCUUAAGCUUAGUUGCCAGCAUUAAGUUGGGCACUCUAAGUUGACUGCCGGUGACAAACCGGAGGAAGGUGGGGAUGACGUCAAAUCAUCAUGCCCCUUAUGAUUUGGGCUACACACGUGCUACAAUGGACAAUACAAAGGGCAGCUAAACCGUGAGGUCAUGCAAAUCCCAUAAAGUUGUUCUCAGUUCGGAUUGUAGUCUGCAACUCGACUACAUGAAGCUGGAAUCGCUAGUAAUCGUAGAUCAGCAUGCUACGGUGAAUACGUUCCCGGGUCUUGUACACACCGCCCGUCACACCACGAGAGUCUGUAACACCCGAAGCCGGUGGAGUAACCAUUUAUGGAGCUAGCCGUCGAAGGUGGGACAAAUGAUUGGGGUGAAGUCGUAACAAGGUAGCCGUAUCGGA
Molecule: ribosomal RNA, 523 nt
Filed under: uncultured bacterium
Lineage: Bacteria
Description: bacterial SSU rRNA
Rfam family: Bacterial small subunit ribosomal RNA
Source: RNAcentral